UACGGAGGGGGCAAGCGUUAUUCGGAAUUAUUGGGCGUAAAGGGCGCGUAGGCGGCUAGAUGUGUCAAAGGUGAAAUCCCUCGGCUCAACUGAGGAACUGCCUUUGAAACUGUCUGGCUUGAGGCCGGGAGAGGGUAGCGGAAUUCCCAGUGUAGCGGUGAAAUGCGUUGAUAUCAUCAGGAACACCGGAGGCGAAGGCGGCUCACUGGGGCUUUUCUGACGCUGAGGAACGAAAGCCAGGGUAGCGAACGGG
This 253-nucleotide ribosomal RNA is filed under the name uncultured bacterium. RNAcentral describes it as "partial 16S ribosomal RNA". It matches the Rfam family "Bacterial small subunit ribosomal RNA", at positions 524 to 776 of the family's 1533-position model. The record is from RNAcentral.